GAUGAACGCUGGCGGCGUGCCUAAUACAUGCCAGUCGAGCGAACGGACGAGAAGCUUGCUUUUCUGAUGUUAGCGGCGGACGGGUGAGUAACACGUGGAUAACCUACCUAUAAGACUGGGAUAACUUCGGGAAGCCGGAGCUAAUACCGGAUAAUAUUUUGAACCGCAUGGUUCAAAAGUGAAAGACGGUCUUGCUGUCACUUAUAGAUGGAUCCGCGCUGCAUUAGCUAGUUGGUAAGGUAACGGCUUACCAAGGCAACGAUGCAUAGCCGACCUGAGAGGGUGAUUGGCCACACUGGAACUGAGACACGGUCCAGACUCCUACGGGAGGCAGCAGUAGGGAAUCUUCCGCAAUGGGCGAAAGCCUGACGGAGCAACGCCGCGUGAGUGAUGAAGGUCUUCGGAUCGUAAAACUCUGUUAUUAGGGAAGAACAUAUGUGUAAGUAACUGUGCACAUCUUGACGGUACCUAAUCAGAAAGCCACGGCUAACUACGUG
RNAcentral lists this ribosomal RNA (497 nucleotides) under uncultured bacterium. Its description in RNAcentral is "partial 16S ribosomal RNA". It matches the Rfam family "Bacterial small subunit ribosomal RNA", at positions 28 to 507 of the family's 1533-position model. The record is from RNAcentral.